AUUGUGUUCACUUUAAUUUGUUCUCUUAAGGCUGAAUCUGGGAGGGUUACAGAGUUCAUCUCCUGUAACCGAAUGGAGACAUCAUUCGUCGUGCCACAUUAUUUUGUGCAAACCAUUACAACGGUAACCUGCACUUUGCGGUAUGUGGCUGAAGAUGGACAGAUGUUCACCUCCACUUGGGACUAUGAUCACAACGACUGUGAGGAGAGUGAGGAGCGCCUUAACCCAGAGGAGUUGGAGGUGCCCUUUAUUUG
Long non-coding RNA from Hemibagrus wyckioides, 254 nucleotides. RefSeq lists it as uncharacterized. The transcript has 3 exons. NCBI's taxonomy places the organism in Eukaryota, Metazoa, Chordata, Actinopteri, Siluriformes, Bagridae. The record is from RefSeq and is a predicted model, not a curated record.